GCUGUGUGAGAUUUUGACUUGCUGGCGUUACACCGGAUUCUGUGACUAUUGUAUGUUGUGACCCUAGAGGGCGCUGUUGGUAAAAUACAUCUUAUAAUGGAUCGUCUAGAUCAGCGUUCUCCAACCCUUUUAGCGUCUCGGACCGGUUUACUGUGGGACAGUAUUUUCUCGGACCGGCAUUUAAGUAUUUAGGUCUCACAUGAACUGUAACAGACGUACAGCAGGUCACCAUAUCAGAAAAGAACCAGUGUGACGUGUGACUGUGGGUUCCAUAUGCAGUGUGUUCAGGAGCCAGAUGUUAUCAAUCCUACAGCUGUGCAGCGUGCCAAUUUCAAGAUUAUCCUCCCUUCUCCUUUCUCCUGCUAAAAACAUCAUGUUAUCUAAAGUCUCUCCUUUUAUCAGUGAUAACCGUCUCCCCCAUGAAGAAAAUCCCCCUCUGCUGUAAGUCCCCACUGAUCAAGCACUUGGUGUCUUUCAGGAGGAUGGUUUUUAUGGUUCUAAUGAAGGUCUCGACAAAUUAAACAUGGUUUUUACAUUCAGGAUUGAGAACUUUGCCUACAAAAUUUUCAUUUCCACUGAUGCAGAAAUAAAAUGUUUUAAAUGUGGUCAGAUAGGACAUCUUGUUUGUGCCUGUCAGACAGACAGAAAGACAAAAGACUGAGUUACUCUGGUGUCUCCAAGUGACCGGGGCAGGAAGCAGCUGAACCUGCUGGAGUCGUUCCCUCUGCGUCUUCAGCUCGGCCUGCUGCUGAGAGCCCCGUAACUGCUGCUGCUGCUGCACCAGGACCUAGGGAGAGUGAGCCCCAACCUUAGACUGUAGACCACAGCCCCACUAGCGACGUAAACCGGACCGGGAGAAGCCCUACUCCGCUAAACCGGACCGGGAGAAGCCCUGCUCGCAUAAACCGGACCGGGAGAAGCCCUACUCCGCUAAACCGGACCGGGAGAAGCCCUGCUCGCAUAAACCGGACCGGGAGAAGCCCUACUCCGCUAAACCGGACCGGGAGAAGCCCUGCUUGCAUAAACCGGACCGGGAGAAGCCCUACUCCGCUAAACUGGACCGGGAGAAGCCCUGCUUGCAUAAACCGGACCGGGAGAAGCUCUGCUCGACUAAACCGGACCGGGAGAAGGACUAUGACACUGAAAAAGUCCCAGUGGACUCUGGAGCAGUGCUGGAGCUGCCUGCGCUGGAGAGGCAGGCACAGGGGUGCAGAGCUCUCACCAGGAGACACCAGUCACUACACCAGUGCAGGGGGACGGGGAGACGUGGAGAUGGAAGAUGAGCAUCUUUUUAAAGUACCAACAAAGAGGAAGAAACGAGGUAGAGGACAGGGAAAAAAAACAGGCAAAGAAGGAUUUAAAAGUUACAACAAACACACA
This is a long non-coding RNA of Silurus meridionalis, 1380 nucleotides long. RefSeq lists it as uncharacterized. NCBI's taxonomy places the organism in Eukaryota, Metazoa, Chordata, Actinopteri, Siluriformes, Siluridae. The transcript has 4 exons. The record is from RefSeq and is a predicted model, not a curated record.